GAUGAACGCUGGCGGCGUGCCUAAUACAUGCAAGUCGAGCGAACGGACGAGAAGCUUGCUUCUCUGAUGUUAGCGGCGGACGGGUGAGUAACACGUGGAUAACCUACCUAUAAGACUGGGAUAACUUCGGGAAACCGGAGCUAAUACCGGAUAAUAUUUUGAACCGCAUGGUUCAAAAGUGAAAGACGGUCUUGCUGUCACUUAUAGAUGGAUCCGCGCUGCAUUAGCUAGUUGGUAAGGUAACGGCUUACCAAGGCAACGAUGCAUAGCCGACCUGAGAGGCUGAUCGGCCACCCUGGAACUGAGACACGGUCCAGACUCCUACGGGAGGCAGCAGUCGGGAAUCUUCCGCAAUGGGCGAAAGCCUGACGGAGCCACGCCGCGUGAGUGAUGAAGGUCUUCGGAUCGUAAAACUCUGUUAUUAGGGAAGAACAGAUGUGUAAGUAACUGUGCACAUCUUGACGGUACCUAAUCAGAAAGCCACGGCUAACUACGUG
Molecule: ribosomal RNA, 497 nt
Filed under: uncultured bacterium
Lineage: Bacteria
Description: partial 16S ribosomal RNA
Rfam family: Bacterial small subunit ribosomal RNA
Source: RNAcentral